Molecule: long non-coding RNA, 713 nt
Filed under: Homo sapiens (human)
Lineage: Eukaryota; Metazoa; Chordata; Mammalia; Primates; Hominidae
Description: HSALNT0349522
Source: RNAcentral
AAGAUGGCCGAAUAGGAACAGCUCCGGUCUACAGCUCCCAGCGUGAGCGACGCAGAAGACGGGUGAUUUCUGCAUUUCCAUCUGAGGGCUGGGAAGAAAAAUCCAUCAGAGUAAGAGAUGGCAGUGGUUGGAAAAAGUAAAGACAUUCUCUACUUGUACCCUCUGUGGAGUUCAGACUUUCCAUAAAUCAGGCACUGUGUCAAUGAGGAUACCCAGGAGAUGAAUGGAAUCUACUGUCUUUCCCACGCUUGUCAAGGCAUCUCAUCUGAGCAGUUACCAACAUCAGCACAGUGGGGCUGGUCUGCCCCAUCUCCAUCUGACCCGCCCAGCUUGCCCAGUGAUGCAUCACACCGCAAUAGUGGGACAUUUUUUUUCUAACAAUGGUUCUACUCCCCUGGUGUAAAAGCAAAUAAACGGGAAUGGGGUAUAACUUGAUACUAAAUUCUGUGAAAAUAAUCCAUUUGCACUGCACAUAGUUAAUGUGUGGUGCUAACUUGCUACUCUUCAUCCAAGCAGACAGAAGCAGUUGUGCCCUCAUAUAUAGAGGUGCCAGGCAGUCGGGGACAUGAUGAGGAAGUGUUUCUGAAAUCUCUUGUCAAAAGCAUUCAACAGGAAUGCUAAGAAUAAUGGCAAUGAAACACCACCACACCAAGUAAACAAUCGCAUUAACUUCAUUUUGCAGAUGAGGAAAUUGAAGCUCAGUGUGAUUAAAU